RNAcentral lists this ribosomal RNA (460 nucleotides) under uncultured bacterium. RNAcentral describes it as "partial 16S ribosomal RNA". It matches the Rfam family "Bacterial small subunit ribosomal RNA", at positions 338 to 795 of the family's 1533-position model. The record is from RNAcentral.
CCUACGGGAGGCAGCAGUGGGGAAUAUUGGGCAAUGGGCGCGAGCCUGACCCAGCAAAGUAGCGUGAAGGAUGACUGCCCUACGGGUUUUAAACUUCUUUUAUAAAGGAGUAAAAUGAGACGCUUGUGCCUUUUUGUAUGUACUUUAUGUAUAAGGAUCGGCUAACUCCGUGCCAGCAGCCGCGGUAAUACGGAGGAUCCGAGCGUUAUACGGAUUUAUUGGGUUGAAAGGGAGUGUAGAUGGGUUGUUAAGUCAGUUGUGAAAGCUAGCGGCUCAACCGAAAGAUUGCAAUUGAUACUGGCAGCCUGGAGUGCAGUAGAGGUAGGCGGAAUUCGGGGUGUAGCGGUGAAAUGCGUAGAUAUCACGAAGAACACCGAUGGCGAAGGCAGACUACUAAACAGCAACUGACAUUGAGGCUCGAAAGUGUGGGUAUCAAACAGGAUUAGAUACCCUUGUAGUC